RNAcentral lists this ribosomal RNA (402 nucleotides) under uncultured Actinomycetes bacterium. RNAcentral describes it as "bacterial SSU rRNA". It matches the Rfam family "Bacterial small subunit ribosomal RNA", at positions 975 to 1375 of the family's 1533-position model. Lineage: Bacteria; Bacillati; Actinomycetota; Actinomycetes. The record is from RNAcentral.
CAGAUCUUGACAUCCUACGAAUGCCUGUGAGGACAGGCAGUGCCUUCGGGAACGUAGAGACAGGUGGUGCAUGGCUGUCGACAGCUCGUGUCGUGAGAUGUUGGGUUAAGUCCCGCAACGAGCGCAACCCUCGUCCUAUGUUGCCAGCGAGUAAUGUCGGGGACUCAUAGGAGACUGCCGGGGUCAACUCGGAGGAAGGUGGGGAUGACGUCAAGUCAUCAUGCCCCUUAUGUCCAGGGCUGCACACAUGCUACAAUGGCCGGUACAAAGAGCUGCGAUACCGCAAGGUGGAGCGAAUCUCAUAAAGCCGGUCUCAGUUCGGAUUGGGGUCUGCAACUCGACCCCAUGAAGUCGGAGUCGCUAGUAAUCGCAGAUCAGCAACGCUGCGGUGAAUACGUUCCC